AGUAACGUCCUUCCAAACCCGUCC
This 24-nucleotide non-coding RNA is filed under the name Arabidopsis thaliana (thale cress). Lineage: Eukaryota; Viridiplantae; Streptophyta; Magnoliopsida; Brassicales; Brassicaceae. The record is from RNAcentral.